GAAAUGCGAUAAGUAGUGUGAAUUGCAGAAUUCAGUGAAUCAUCGAAUCUUUGAACGCACAUUGCGCCCUUUGGUAUUCCAAAGGGCAUGCCUGUUCGAGCGUCAUUUGUACCCUCAAGCUUUGCUUGGUGUUGGGCGUCUUGUCUCUAGCUUUGCUGGAGACUCGCCUUAAAGUAAUUGGCAGCCGGCCUACUGGUUUCCGAGCGCAGCACAAGUCGCACUCUCUAUCAGCAAAGGUCUAGCAUCCAUUAAGCCUUUUUUUCAACUUUUGACCUCGGAUCAGGUAGGUAUACCCGCUGAACUUAAGC
This 308-nucleotide unclassified non-coding RNA is filed under the name plant metagenome. RNAcentral's name for it is "partial contains 5.8S ribosomal RNA, internal transcribed spacer 2, and large subunit ribosomal RNA". The stretch from base 1 to 105 matches the Rfam family "5.8S ribosomal RNA", at positions 50 to 154 of the family's 154-position model. The record is from RNAcentral.